RNAcentral lists this ribosomal RNA (395 nucleotides) under uncultured bacterium. RNAcentral's name for it is "bacterial SSU rRNA". It matches the Rfam family "Bacterial small subunit ribosomal RNA", at positions 28 to 428 of the family's 1533-position model. The record is from RNAcentral.
GACGAACGCUGGCGGCGUGCUUAACACAUGCAAGUCGAGCGGUAAGGCCCUUUCGGGGGUACGACGAGCGGCGAACGGGUGAGUAACACGUGGGUGACCUGCCCUCAGCUCUGGGAUAAACCUGGGAAACCGGGUCUAAUACUGGAUAUGACUCCAUGACGCAUGUUGUGGGGUGGAAAGCCUUGUGCGGCUGAGGAUGGGCCCGCGGCCUAUCAGCUUGUUGGUGGGGUGAUGGCCUACCAAGGCGACGACGGGUAGCCGGCCUGAGAGGGCGACCGGCCACACUGGGACUGAGACACGGCCCAGACUCCUACGGGAGGCAGCAGUGGGGAAUCUUGCGCAAUGGGCGAAAGCCUGACGCAGCGACGCCGCGUGAGGGAUGACGGCCUGUGUAA